UCGACGGCAGCACGGGAGCAAUCCUGGUGGCGAGUGGCGAACGGGUGAGUAAUGUAUCGGAACGUACCUUUCAGUGGGGGAUAACGUAGCGAAAGUUACGCUAAUACCGCAUAUUCUGUGAGCAGGAAAGCAGGGGAUCGCAAGACCUUGCGCUGAUUGAGCGGCCGAUAUCAGAUUAGCUAGUUGGUGAGGUAAAGGCUCACCAAGGCGACGAUCUGUAGCGGGUCUGAGAGGAUGAUCCGCCACACUGGAACUGAGACACGGUCCAGACUCCUACGGGAGGCAGCAGUGGGGAAUUUUGGACAAUGGGGGCAACCCUGAUCCAGCCAUGCCGCGUGAGUGAAGAAGGCCUUCGGGUUGUAAAGCUCUUUCAGCCGGGAAGAAAUCACAUGGGUUAAUACCCUGUGUGGAUGACGGUACCGGAAUAAGAAGCACCGGCUAACUACGUGCCAGCAGCCGCGGUAAUACGUAGGGUGCGAGCGUUAAUCGGAAUUACUGGGCGUAAAGCGUGCGCAGGCGGUUUGUUAAGAUAGGCGUGAAAUCCCCGGGCUCAACCUGGGAACUGCGUUUAUGACUGGCAGGCUAGAGUAUGGCAGAGGGGGGUGGAAUUCCACGUGUAGCAGUGAAAUGCGUAGAGAUGUGGAGGAACACCGAUGGCGAAGGCAGCCCCCUGGGCCAAUACUGACGCUCAUGCACGAAAGCGUGGGUAGCAAACAGGAUUAGAUACCCUGGUAGUCCACGCCCUAAACGAUGUCAACUAGGUGUUGGGUGGGUAAAACCAUUUAGUACCGGAGCUAACGCGUGAAGUU
Molecule: ribosomal RNA, 809 nt
Filed under: uncultured bacterium
Lineage: Bacteria
Description: bacterial SSU rRNA
Rfam family: Bacterial small subunit ribosomal RNA
Source: RNAcentral